RNAcentral lists this ribosomal RNA (1502 nucleotides) under Micromonospora sp. Its description in RNAcentral is "bacterial SSU rRNA". It matches the Rfam family "Bacterial small subunit ribosomal RNA". The record is from RNAcentral. Lineage: Bacteria; Bacillati; Actinomycetota; Actinomycetes; Micromonosporales; Micromonosporaceae.
CCUGGCUCAGGACGAACGCUGGCGGCGUGCUUAACACAUGCAAGUCGAGCGGAAAGGCCCUUCGGGGUACUCGAGCGGCGAACGGGUGAGUAACACGUGAGCAACCUGCCCUAGGCUUUGGGAUAACCCUCGGAAACGGGGGCUAAUACCGAAUACGACCUGGCCUCGCAUGAGGUUUGGUGGAAAGUUUUUCGGCCUGGGAUGGGCUCGCGGCCUAUCAGCUUGUUGGUGGGGUGAUGGCCCUACCAAGGCGACGACGGGUAGCCGGCCUGAGAGGGCGACCGGCCACACUGGAACCUGAGACACGGCCCAGACUCCUACGGAAGGCAGCAGUGGGGAAUUAUUGCACAAUGGGCGAAAGCCUGAUGCAGCGACGCCGCGUGAGGGAUGACGGCCUUCGGGUUGGUAAACCUCUUUCAAGCAGCAGGGACGAAGCGAAAGUGACGGUACCUGCAGAAGAAGCGCCGGCCAACUACGUGCCAGCAGCCGCGGUAAGACGUUAGGGCGCGAGGCGUUGUCCGGAUUUAUUGGGCGUAAAGAGCUCGUAGGCGGCUUGUCGCGUCGACCGUGAAAACCCACAGCUCAACCCCGGACCUGCAGUCGAUACGGGCAGACUAGAGUGCAGUAGGGGAGACUGGAAUUCCUGGUGUAGCGGUGGAAUGCGCAGAUAUCAAGCAGGAGGAACACCGAUGGCGAAGGCAGGUCUCUGGGCCGGAAACUGACGCUGGAGGAGCGAAAGCAUGGGGAGCGAACAGGAUUAGAUACCCUGGUAGUCCACGCCGUAAACGUUGGGCACAGCACUAGGUGUGGGGACCAUCCCACGGCCUCCGCGCCGCAGCUAACGCAAUUAAGCGCCCCGCCUGGGGAGUACGGCCGCAAGGCUAAAACUCAAAGGAAUUUGACGGGGGCCCGCCCAGCACAAGCGGCGGAAGCCAUGCGGAUUAACUAUUCGAUGCAACGCCGAAGAACCUUACCUGGGACAGCUUUGGACAUUGGCCGCAAAACUGUCAGAGAGUGUGGGUGGCAGGUCCUCUAUCGGGGGCGGUCACAGGUGGUGCAUGGCUGUCGUCAGCUCGUGUCGUGAGGAUGUUGGGUUAAGUCCCGCAACGAGCGCAACCCUCGUUCGAUGUUGCCAGCGCGUUAAUAGCGGGGACUCAUCGAAGACCAGCCUGCCGGGGUCAACUCGGAGGAAGGUGGGGAUGACGUCAAGUCAUCAUGCCCCUUAUGUCCAGGGCUUCACGCAAUGCUAACAAUGGCCGGUACAAUGGGCUGCGAUACCGUGAACCAGCGGUGGAAGCGAAUCCCAAAAAGCCGGUCUCAGUUCGGAUCGGGGUCUGCAACUCGACCCCGUGAAGUCGGAGUCGCUAGUAAUCGCAGAUCAGCAACGCUGCGGUGAAUACGUUCCCGGGCCUUGUACACACCGCCCGUCACGUCACGAAAGUCGGCAACACCCGAAGCCGGUGGCCCAACCCCUUGUGGGAGGGAGCCGUCGAAGGUGGGGC